ACUGAACGCUGGCGGCAUGCCUUACACAUGCAAGUCGAACGGUAACGGGUCCUUCGGGAUGCCGACGAGUGGCGAACGGGUGAGUAAUAUAUCGGAACGUGCCCAGUAGUGGGGGAUAACUGCUCGAAAGAGCAGCUAAUACCGCAUACGACCUGAGGGUGAAAGGGGGGGAUCGCAAGACCUUUUGCUAUUGGAGCGGCCGAUAUCAGAUUAGCUAGUGGGGGGGGUAAAGGCCUACCAAGGCAACGAUCUGUAGUUGGUCUGAGAGGACGACCAGCCACACUGGGACUGAGACACGGCCCAGACUCCUACGGGAGGCAGGAGUGGGGAAUUGUGGACAAUGGGCGCAAGCCUGAUCCAGCAAUGCCGCGUGCAGGAAGAAGGCCUCGGGUUGUAAACUGCUUUUGUCAGGGAAGAAAUCUUCUGGGCUAAUACCCCGGGAGGAUGACGGUACCUGAAGAAUAAGCACCGGCUAACUACGUGCCAGCAGCCGCCGUAA
Molecule: ribosomal RNA, 499 nt
Filed under: uncultured bacterium
Lineage: Bacteria
Description: partial 16S ribosomal RNA
Rfam family: Bacterial small subunit ribosomal RNA
Source: RNAcentral